This 194-nucleotide unclassified non-coding RNA is filed under the name soil metagenome. Its description in RNAcentral is "partial contains 5.8S ribosomal RNA, internal transcribed spacer 2, and large subunit ribosomal RNA". The record is from RNAcentral.
AAGACUAUAGACCUGCGGAGUACCUGCGGAGGGAUCAUUACCGAGUUUACUCAACUCCCAACCAUUGUGAACAUACACUGUUGCUUCGGCGGACAGACCCUUGGGUCUGCCGCCGAGGGACCUAAACUCUUGUUUUCCAGUGGAUCUUCUGAGUGAUUUACACAAUAAAUCAAAACUUUUAACAAUGGAUCUCU